RNAcentral lists this ribosomal RNA (467 nucleotides) under uncultured bacterium. RNAcentral describes it as "partial 16S ribosomal RNA". It matches the Rfam family "Bacterial small subunit ribosomal RNA", at positions 29 to 507 of the family's 1533-position model. The record is from RNAcentral.
ACGAACGCUGGCGGCGUGCUUAACACAUGCAAGUCGAACGGAAAGGCCCUGCUUUUGUGGGGUGCUCGAGUGGCGAACGGGUGAGUAACACGUGAGUAACCUGCCCUUGACUUUGGGUUACCUUCAGGAAACUGGGGCUAAUACCGGAUAGGAGCUCCUGCUGCAUGGUGGGGGUUGGAAAGUUUCGGCGGUUGGGGAUGGACUCGCGGCUUAUCAGCUUGUUGGUGGGGUAGUGGCUUACCAAGGCUUUGACGGGUAGCCGGCCUGAGAGGGUGACCGGCCACAUUGGGACUGAGAUACGGCCCAGACUCCUACGGGAGGCAGCAGUGGGGAAUAUUGCACAAUGGGCGGAAGCCUGAUGCAGCAACGCCGCGUGCGGGAUGACGGCCUUCGGGUUGUAAACCGCUUUCGCCUGUGACGAAGCGUGAGUGACGGUAAUGGGUAAAGAAGCACCGGCUAACUACGUG